UUGGACUGUUAAGAGUAAACCACAUUGCUGCUGGUUUGGAGUCAAGUGUGGGCCAUACCAGAAUUUGUCCUCAAGAGUCUGUCCCUGGGCACCUUUGUACCUGCAAUGGCAAUCAAUUUUGGCAAGCAACUGAUCACCAAGAGCUCAAGAUAUGUACAGAUUCUGCUCUCUCUGUGGAUAUGAACCAAGACCUGAGAAGACCAACCAGUGAAUGAAAGACUGGAAUCACUGUGUCCAUAAUUGUCAUGAUUUGGAGAUGGACUAUCACCUGAUGAAGGAGAGAUGCUCCGAAAGCUAGUGCUUCCAAUUAAACCUGUUGGAUUAUAACCUGGUGUUGUGUGAUUCAUAAUUUUCAUCAAAGAGUCAGGAGAAAUCGAAAGUGAACUGAAGGAAAGCAACUCACUGAUGCCUGUGAUCCCGACUGGUGCCAGAACUCUGCUUUACUGACUUUUUUUAUUCCUCCCCCAUCCAGAAUAUUUGUGUCCUAUUCUUUUUGAGUCUGUUUGUGUGAUUAUGGGAAGUUUUGUAAAGGGGCAGAGUUUAAGUUAUAAAAUGAAACGUUA
Molecule: long non-coding RNA, 563 nt
Organism: Hemiscyllium ocellatum (epaulette shark)
Lineage: Eukaryota; Metazoa; Chordata; Chondrichthyes; Orectolobiformes; Hemiscylliidae
Exons: 4
Source: RefSeq, a predicted model, not a curated record